RNAcentral lists this ribosomal RNA (424 nucleotides) under uncultured Caldimonas sp. RNAcentral's name for it is "partial 16S ribosomal RNA". Lineage: Bacteria; Pseudomonadati; Pseudomonadota; Betaproteobacteria; Burkholderiales; Sphaerotilaceae. The record is from RNAcentral.
CACGUAGUUAGCCGGUGCUUAUUCUUCCGGUACCGUCAUCCCCCCGGGGUAUUAGCCCAGAGGAUUUCUUCCCGAACAAAAGCGGUUUACAACCCGAAGGCCUUCUUCCCGCACGCGGCAUGGCUGGAUCAGGGUUGCCCCCAUUGUCCAAAAUUCCCCACUGCUGCCUCCCGUAGGAGUCUGGCCGUGUCUCAGUCCCAGUGUGGCUGGUCGUCCUCUCAGACCAGCUACGGAUCGUCGCCUUGGUAACGCCUUUACCCCACAACUAGCUAAUCCGACAUCGGCCGCUCCAAUAGCGCGAGGCCUUUCGGUCCCCCCGUCUUUCCACCCUCAGGUCUAUGCGGUAUUAAUCCGGCUUUCGGCCGGCUACUCCCCCACUACUGGGCCUACGUUCCGAUGCUAUACUCACCGUUCGCCACUCGCC